GACGAACGCUGUUGGCGUGCUUAACACAUGCAAGUCGAACGGAAAGGCCCUGCUUUUGUGGGGUGCUCGAGUGGCGAACGGGUGAGUAACACGUGAGUAACCUGCCCUUGACUUUGGGAUAACUUCAGGAAACUGGGGCUAAUACCGGAUAGGAGCUCCUGCUGCAUGGUGGGGGUUGGAAAGUUUCGGCGGUUGGGGAUGGACUCGCGGCUUAUCAGCUUGUUGGUGGGGUAGUGGCUUACCAAGGCUUUGACGGGUAGCCGGCCUGAGAGGGUGACCGGCCACAUUGGGACUGAGAUACGGCCCAGACUCCUACGGGAGGCAGCAGUGGGGAAUAUUGCACAAUGGGCGGAAGCCUGAUGCAGCAACGCCGCGUGCGGGAUGACGGCCUUCGGGUUGUAAACCGCUUUCGCCUGUGACGAAGCGUGAGUGACGGUAAUGGGUAAAGAAGCACCGGCUAACUACGUGCCAGCAGCCGCGGUGAUACGUAGGGUGCGAGCGUUGUCCGGAUUUAUUGGGCGUAAAGGGCUCGUAGGUGGUUGAUCGCGUCGGAAGUGUAAUCUUGGGGCUUAACCCUGAGCGUGCUUUCGAUACGGGUUGACUUGAGGAAGAUAGGGGAGAAUGGAAUUCCUGGUGGAGCGGUGGAAUGCGCAGAUAUCAGGAGGAACACCAGUGGCGAAGGCGGUUCUCUGGGCCUUUCCUGACGCUGAGGAGCGAAAGCGUGGGGAGCGAACAGGCUUAGAUACCCUGGUAGUCCACGCUGUAAACGGUGGGUACUAGGUGUGGGGUCCAUUCCACGGGUUCCGUGCCGUAGCUAACGCUUUAAGUACCCCGCCUGGGGAGUACGGCCGCAAGGCUAAAACUCAAAGGAAUUGACGGGGCCCCGCACAAGCGGCGGAGCAUGCGGAUUAAUUCGAUGCAACGCGUAGAACCUUACCUGGGUUUGACAUGGAUCGGGAGUGCUCAGAGAUGGGUGUGCCUCUUUUGGGGUCGGUUCACAGGUGGUGCAUGCCUGUCGUCAGCUCGUGUCGUGAGAUGUUGGGUUAAGUCCCGCAACGAGCGCAACCCUUGUUCACUGUUGCCAGCACGUUAUGGUGGGGACUCAGUGGAGACCGCCGGGGUCAACUCGGAGGAAGGUGGGGAUGACGUCAAGUCAUCAUGCCCCUUAUGUCCAGGGCUUCACGCAUGCUACAAUGGCUGGUACAGAGAGUGGCGAGCCUGUGAGGGUGAGCGAAUCUCGGAAAGCCGGUCUCAGUUCGGAUUGGGGUCUGCAACUCGACCUCAUGAAGUCGGAGUCGCUAGUAAUCGCAGAUCAGCAACGCUGCGGUGAAUACGUUCCCGGGGCU
Molecule: ribosomal RNA, 1346 nt
Filed under: uncultured bacterium
Lineage: Bacteria
Description: partial 16S ribosomal RNA
Rfam family: Bacterial small subunit ribosomal RNA
Source: RNAcentral